Melospiza melodia melodia is the source of this 1038-nucleotide long non-coding RNA. RefSeq lists it as uncharacterized. The record is from RefSeq and is a predicted model, not a curated record. NCBI's taxonomy places the organism in Eukaryota, Metazoa, Chordata, Aves, Passeriformes, Passerellidae. The transcript is spliced from 2 exons.
CGAGCGGGGAUCGCUGGCACCGAGCGGGGAGCGCGGGCACCGACCAGGGAGCGUUGGCACCGAGCGGGGGUCGUGGGCACGGAAUGGGGAUCGCUGGUACCGAGCGGGAAUGACGGGCACCGAGCAGGGGUCGCGGGCACCGAGCAGGGAGCGUUGGCACGGAGCGGGGAUCACGGGCACCGAGCAGGGAUCGCUGGCACCGAGCGGGGGUCGCGGGGUUGUCACGGGCGCCGAGCGGGGGUCGCGGCCCCGCGGGUUCAAGGGAGGCAGCGGAGCCGCCCGGAGCGGGGAGCAAAUCCCAGCCCGGCUGGAAACGCUCCCUCGGAAAAUCCUCCCUCUCUUAACCCCCCCGAAAGGCCGGGCUGGGGCGGAGGGACCCCGGCAGGGCUGGGACACCAAGAGAUUUGUCCCCUCUCUGUCCCUGAGGGCGAGGGUCCGUUUGUUCCACACCGUGCUAUCGGUCUGUCCGGCUUAGGAGCUGCUGGGGAAAAAUGGAAAGAAAAAAGAAAAGAGAAGUGACCAGGCGGUAACUUUUUGCUUGUUUGGUUGCUGUUCCUUUCACAGCGAACGGGGCGAGGUGGAGGGAGCAGCCCGUGGGGAAUGGGCGGCAGCUCAGCUCGGUGUCCUGCAGAGCCUCCCCUCAUCCCCACCUUCCUCACGGAGUUUGCUCCCAAUUCCCUAAAUCCAGUUGAAGCCUCACAGUCUCAUUCACCUCACCCAAAUAUUCCAUAUUUUACCCCAAAAAGAACAGCCACACUUCCUCAGUUUCUAUUCUGAAACCAGACAAACUUAAAGGUUUUUUCAUUUUUAUUUAAUGCUUCGAACUUUAUAGCUAAUAAUAUACAGAUAUUCAAUUUUUCCAUUGUUCCAUUCACAUCCUCACAGAGUUCAGCCAUUCUGUCACAUUGAAAUAAAAUAAAAUAAAAAAAAGCGCACAACUGAAAUAUAAUAAAUCAAAUAAAUCCAAAGGCUGGAAAAAUACAUUAUAAACUUAUAUUCAAGAAACAUUCUCUUUAUAAUUAAAAACCUACUUGUAAU